GACAGAGGGUGCAAACGUUGUUCGGAAUUACCGGGCGUAAAGCGCGUGUAGGCUGCUCAGAAAGUCGGAUGUGAAAGCCCCGGGCUCAACCCGGGAAGUGCACUCGAUACUGCGAGGCUAGAGUACUGGAGAGGUUGGUGGAAUUCUCGGUGUAGAGGUGAAAUUCGUAGAUAUCGAGAGGAACACCGGUGGCGAAGGCGGCCAACUGGACAGAUACUGACGCUGAGGCGCGAAAGCCAGGGGAGCGAACGGG
Molecule: ribosomal RNA, 253 nt
Filed under: uncultured bacterium
Lineage: Bacteria
Description: partial 16S ribosomal RNA
Rfam family: Bacterial small subunit ribosomal RNA
Source: RNAcentral